GGUAACCCGUUGAAAGGGAACAUAGGCAGGAAACAGGCAAGAGAGCCGGUGGUUGGUGCGAACCGGUCCUGGGAACUGCUGAAUCCGCCCUGGAGGGGAUCCACCGAAGGGCCGUGGCCUGGUAAGUGGAUACGGUGGCGCCGUUAUCGCAUCGAGAGGGUCAAGGGGAUAUUAUUGCCUUUUGGCCAAUUAGGGUGGCAACGCGGGAACAAGCUCUCGUCCCUAAA
This is a non-coding RNA of 227 nucleotides. It matches the Rfam family "T-box leader". From Rfam's summary of the family: Uncharged tRNA acts as the effector for transcription antitermination of genes in the T-box leader family. T-boxes are found upstream of many aminoacyl-tRNA synthetase genes and some amino acid biosynthetic genes usually in Gram-positive bacteria. The anticodon of a specific tRNA base pairs to a specifier sequence within the T-box motif, and the NCCA acceptor tail of the tRNA base pairs to a conserved bulge in the T-box antiterminator hairpin.